This 2904-nucleotide ribosomal RNA is filed under the name Escherichia coli. RNAcentral's name for it is "23S ribosomal RNA". It matches the Rfam family "Bacterial large subunit ribosomal RNA". Lineage: Bacteria; Pseudomonadati; Pseudomonadota; Gammaproteobacteria; Enterobacterales; Enterobacteriaceae. The record is from RNAcentral.
GGUUAAGCGACUAAGCGUACACGGUGGAUGCCCUGGCAGUCAGAGGCGAUGAAGGACGUGCUAAUCUGCGAUAAGCGUCGGUAAGGUGAUAUGAACCGUUAUAACCGGCGAUUUCCGAAUGGGGAAACCCAGUGUGUUUCGACACACUAUCAUUAACUGAAUCCAUAGGUUAAUGAGGCGAACCGGGGGAACUGAAACAUCUAAGUACCCCGAGGAAAAGAAAUCAACCGAGAUUCCCCCAGUAGCGGCGAGCGAACGGGGAGCAGCCCAGAGCCUGAAUCAGUGUGUGUGUUAGUGGAAGCGUCUGGAAAGGCGCGCGAUACAGGGUGACAGCCCCGUACACAAAAAUGCACAUGCUGUGAGCUCGAUGAGUAGGGCGGGACACGUGGUAUCCUGUCUGAAUAUGGGGGGACCAUCCUCCAAGGCUAAAUACUCCUGACUGACCGAUAGUGAACCAGUACCGUGAGGGAAAGGCGAAAAGAACCCCGGCGAGGGGAGUGAAAAAGAACCUGAAACCGUGUACGUACAAGCAGUGGGAGCACGCUUAGGCGUGUGACUGCGUACCUUUUGUAUAAUGGGUCAGCGACUUAUAUUCUGUAGCAAGGUUAACCGAAUAGGGGAGCCGAAGGGAAACCGAGUCUUAACUGGGCGUUAAGUUGCAGGGUAUAGACCCGAAACCCGGUGAUCUAGCCAUGGGCAGGUUGAAGGUUGGGUAACACUAACUGGAGGACCGAACCGACUAAUGUUGAAAAAUUAGCGGAUGACUUGUGGCUGGGGGUGAAAGGCCAAUCAAACCGGGAGAUAGCUGGUUCUCCCCGAAAGCUAUUUAGGUAGCGCCUCGUGAAUUCAUCUCCGGGGGUAGAGCACUGUUUCGGCAAGGGGGUCAUCCCGACUUACCAACCCGAUGCAAACUGCGAAUACCGGAGAAUGUUAUCACGGGAGACACACGGCGGGUGCUAACGUCCGUCGUGAAGAGGGAAACAACCCAGACCGCCAGCUAAGGUCCCAAAGUCAUGGUUAAGUGGGAAACGAUGUGGGAAGGCCCAGACAGCCAGGAUGUUGGCUUAGAAGCAGCCAUCAUUUAAAGAAAGCGUAAUAGCUCACUGGUCGAGUCGGCCUGCGCGGAAGAUGUAACGGGGCUAAACCAUGCACCGAAGCUGCGGCAGCGACGCUUAUGCGUUGUUGGGUAGGGGAGCGUUCUGUAAGCCUGUGAAGGUGUGCUGUGAGGCAUGCUGGAGGUAUCAGAAGUGCGAAUGCUGACAUAAGUAACGAUAAAGCGGGUGAAAAGCCCGCUCGCCGGAAGACCAAGGGUUCCUGUCCAACGUUAAUCGGGGCAGGGUGAGUCGACCCCUAAGGCGAGGCCGAAAGGCGUAGUCGAUGGGAAACAGGUUAAUAUUCCUGUACUUGGUGUUACUGCGAAGGGGGGACGGAGAAGGCUAUGUUGGCCGGGCGACGGUUGUCCCGGUUUAAGCGUGUAGGCUGGUUUUCCAGGCAAAUCCGGAAAAUCAAGGCUGAGGCGUGAUGACGAGGCACUACGGUGCUGAAGCAACAAAUGCCCUGCUUCCAGGAAAAGCCUCUAAGCAUCAGGUAACAUCAAAUCGUACCCCAAACCGACACAGGUGGUCAGGUAGAGAAUACCAAGGCGCUUGAGAGAACUCGGGUGAAGGAACUAGGCAAAAUGGUGCCGUAACUUCGGGAGAAGGCACGCUGAUAUGUAGGUGAAGUCCCUCGCGGAUGGAGCUGAAAUCAGUCGAAGAUACCAGCUGGCUGCAACUGUUUAUUAAAAACACAGCACUGUGCAAACACGAAAGUGGACGUAUACGGUGUGACGCCUGCCCGGUGCCGGAAGGUUAAUUGAUGGGGUUAGCGCAAGCGAAGCUCUUGAUCGAAGCCCCGGUAAACGGCGGCCGUAACUAUAACGGUCCUAAGGUAGCGAAAUUCCUUGUCGGGUAAGUUCCGACCUGCACGAAUGGCGUAAUGAUGGCCAGGCUGUCUCCACCCGAGACUCAGUGAAAUUGAACUCGCUGUGAAGAUGCAGUGUACCCGCGGCAAGACGGAAAGACCCCGUGAACCUUUACUAUAGCUUGACACUGAACAUUGAGCCUUGAUGUGUAGGAUAGGUGGGAGGCUUUGAAGUGUGGACGCCAGUCUGCAUGGAGCCGACCUUGAAAUACCACCCUUUAAUGUUUGAUGUUCUAACGUGGACCCGUGAUCCGGGUUGCGGACAGUGUCUGGUGGGUAGUUUGACUGGGGCGGUCUCCUCCUAAAGAGUAACGGAGGAGCACGAAGGUUGGCUAAUCCUGGUCGGACAUCAGGAGGUUAGUGCAAUGGCAUAAGCCAGCUUGACUGCGAGCGUGACGGCGCGAGCAGGUGCGAAAGCAGGUCAUAGUGAUCCGGUGGUUCUGAAUGGAAGGGCCAUCGCUCAACGGAUAAAAGGUACUCCGGGGAUAACAGGCUGAUACCGCCCAAGAGUUCAUAUCGACGGCGGUGUUUGGCACCUCGAUGUCGGCUCAUCACAUCCUGGGGCUGAAGUAGGUCCCAAGGGUAUGGCUGUUCGCCAUUUAAAGUGGUACGCGAGCUGGGUUUAGAACGUCGUGAGACAGUUCGGUCCCUAUCUGCCGUGGGCGCUGGAGAACUGAGGGGGGCUGCUCCUAGUACGAGAGGACCGGAGUGGACGCAUCACUGGUGUUCGGGUUGUCAUGCCAAUGGCACUGCCCGGUAGCUAAAUGCGGAAGAGAUAAGUGCUGAAAGCAUCUAAGCACGAAACUUGCCCCGAGAUGAGUUCUCCCUGACCCUUUAAGGGUCCUGAAGGAACGUUGAAGACGACGACGUUGAUAGGCCGGGUGUGUAAGCGCAGCGAUGCGUUGAGCUAACCGGUACUAAUGAACCGUGAGGCUUAACCUU